This is an RNA transcript of Phoenix dactylifera (date palm), 3177 nucleotides long. It is a transcript of the gene named putative potassium transporter 13, with no coding region annotated. Lineage: Eukaryota; Viridiplantae; Streptophyta; Magnoliopsida; Arecales; Arecaceae. The record is from RefSeq and is a predicted model, not a curated record.
CUCUCUCUCACAGUCUUCUAGGACACGUCUUCCCCCUUAACCGCUCUCUCUCUCUCUCUCUCUCGGCGCGCGACGCGAACGAAACUUCGAGAGGCGUUCGAUCGAGCUCUCCGUUCGGAAUUCCUUCUUCCGGGCGAAAUUUUUAUCCCCUGGCGGUGGAUUUCGGCGGUGGCGUUGUUCGGGAGUGGGAGUAUUAAGGGGUUUGUGACCGGGGCUCGGGUGAUGGAUCCGGAGUCCGGCUCUCGGUCUCCCGGGAGUCGCUCUUGGAAAGCAUACAGAACCACUCUUUUGUUGGCCUACCAGAGCUUUGGUGUUGUAUAUGGUGAUCUAAGCAUUUCACCCAUCUACGUCUACAAGAGCACUUUCUCGGGAAAGCUACGCCUCCACGAGGAAGAAGCUGAAGUCCUUGGAGUCCUCUCUCUGGUAUUCUGGACUCUGACUCUGAUUCCUCUUUGCAAGUACAUCAUCUUUGUGUUAGGAGCAGAUGACAACGGCGAAGGUGGGACAUUUGCUUUGUAUUCAUUAAUGUGCCGGAAAACAAAGAUGGGACUUCUGGCUACCCCUCAAGCUGCCAACGAGCAUUUAUCUGCUUAUAAACUGGAAACAUCUAGCAAGGAGACACGGACUAGUUUGUUGGUGAAGAAUUUUUUUGAGAAGCAUCGGACUUCUCGAAUUGCAUUGCUUCUUUUUGUGCUUCUGGGGACAAGCAUGGUUAUCGGUGAUGGUGUUUUGACCCCAGCAAUGUCGGUCCUCUCUGCAGUAUCUGGCCUCAAAAUUAAGAUUCCCAGACUACAUGAAAAUUGCAUUGUAUUUGUGUCCUGCAUUGUGUUAGUGGGCCUUUUUGCAUUGCAACACUAUGGGACACAUCGUGUCAGCUUUCUUUUUGCUCCAAUCUUGAUUGCGUGGCUUGGCUGCAUUAGUGGAAUUGGGAUUUACAACAUAUUCAAGUGGAAUCCUGGUGUUGUCCGUGCCCUAUCACCAUAUUAUGUUUAUAACUUCUUUAAGAAAGCUGGAAAAGAUGGCUGGAGUUCACUUGGAGGUGUUGUUCUUUGCAUUACAGGUGCUGAGGCCAUGUUUGCUGACCUGGGGCACUUCUCAAAGCUUUCAAUCAGGGUGGCAUUUACAGCAGUAGUUUAUCCCUGCUUGGUAGUGGCAUACAUGGGUGAAGCUGCCUACCUAUCAAAGCAUAGGGAGGACCUCCACAGUAGCUUCUACAAAGCCCUUCCUGAGAGCGUAUUUUGGCCAGUGCUUGUCAUUGCAACGUUAGCCACGGUUGUUGGGAGUCAGGCAAUUAUCUCAGCUACCUUCUCCAUAAUUAGUCAAUGUAGGGCUUUGGGAUGUUUCCCCCGUGUGAAAAUUAUACACACAUCGAGCCAUGUACAUGGGCAGAUAUACAUACCAGAGGUGAACUGGCUUCUCAUGCUGUUAUGUCUUGCUGUCACCAUUGGCUUUAGAGACAUUGAUAUGAUAGGAAAUGCUUAUGGCCUUGCUGUGAUUAUUGUAAUGUUUGUAACAACUUGUCUUAUGUUCCUAAUCAUCACUACUGUCUGGAAGCGAUCCAUAUUCUUGGUGCUCCUCUUUGUUAUUACCUUCGGAUCCUUGGAGCUCCUCUACUUCUCCGCAUGCCUUGUCAAAGUUCCUCAUGGAGGCUGGUUUCCCCUCAUCUUUUCACUAAUCAUUUUGCUUGUUAUGUCCGCAUGGCACUAUGGCACUGCUAAGAAACAGGCCUUCGAGCUACAGAACAAGGUCUGCCUCGACUAUCUCCUCAGCAUCAGCCCCAGCCUUGGCCUUGUUCGAGUGCCUGGAGUUGGCCUUGUAUACUCCAACAUCAUGACUGGUGUCCCUCCCAUGUUUGCUCACUUUGUCACAAACUUUCCUGCAUUCCAUCGCAUCCUCAUCUUUGUCUGCUUACGGACACUUACAGUGCCAAAAGUUCCAGUUGAUGAGCGCUUCUUGAUUGGAAGGAUUGGCCCACCAGAGUAUCGCCUCUUUCGGUGCAUUGUGAGGUAUGGGUACAAGGAUGGAGGAAGGGACAGUUACGAGUUUGAGAAUCAGCUGCUCAUGAAAGUGGCAGAAUAUCUGCAGCAGGAAGUGGGGGAUUCGUUGGUUAAUGGUGAGAUGUCAGUGGUUGGUCAGCCAUCUAACCUGGUGGUGGAUGCUGUGAUGGGGUCUGAAAGGACUGAGAGAAGUAAGAAGAGGGUGCGAUUCAAAGAGGCGGUUGGUGCAGAUGUGAGGCAAGAGGUGAGGGAAUUGGCGGACGAGAGGGAGGCUGGUGUGUCAUACAUGAUGGGCCAUACAUGUGUGGUGGCUCAUGAGUCCUCAUCAUUUAUCAAGAAGUUUGUGAUUGAUGUUGUGUACGGGUUUCUUCGGCGUAACUCCCGCAGGCCAGCCGUCGCACUUGGGAUCCCACAUGCCUCCCUGAUUGAGGUCGGCAUGGUUUAUCAUGUAUGAUGCUGAAGACUCCUGCUAUUAUAGAAGAUUAUGCUCGGUUCAUAUACAAGUGGAAAAGAACAAACAUCCUUUUUAGCUCUGAACAUUUUUGCGGUCAAGGAGAAAAAAAAUCAAUCCAGCAUUUACUAUUUCUUCCACUGGAGUAAUGGCCGAUGCAAAACAUGGAUGAAGAUUUAAUAUACUGUUUGGAGAAUGCAAUGGUUCCUGCGUAGUAAUUAAAACCAUACCUAUGAGUUGAAUUGAUUAGGAGGUGGGGAAGAAAGUAGGCACUGCACCAACUUGGCCUGGCAUUCAAGAGAAACUACUAGGGUGGGAAAGAAUUGAUAUUUGAAAAGGUUGACAUUGUAUUAGAAGAGGUCUGACAUUUCUGUACAUAAUAAAGAGAUAAGAUUCUGCCCAGCUGAGAAGCCUGCUGAUACCUCUUUUUCGCUCACGGCCAAACAUAUACCUAGUGUUGUAUAUAAGUUGAUUAGCAAUUUGUCAACAAGGUGAAUUGGAGCUCACUAUCUUAUGUUCGAGAGCAGCUUCCCAAAGAAUAGGCAGUGUUAAGAGCUUAAUUUUGUAUUUUUUUCUGAAUUUAAAGUUGCAGAUCAAUGUGCAAGAUCUCUUCCAUAAUAGUAUUUCCAUCUCAAAAAAAAGUAUUUUUUGUGUGCAUUCAUAUAUAUGUCAAAUGUGUUGGGGUUGUGUACAAGUCCUUUUGCCUGAACAUGUAUCCAUGGAUCAUGA